Molecule: non-coding RNA, 30 nt
Filed under: Rattus norvegicus (Norway rat)
Lineage: Eukaryota; Metazoa; Chordata; Mammalia; Rodentia; Muridae
Source: RNAcentral
UGGAUAGUAAAAUGUUUACCUUUCUAAGUC